This 252-nucleotide non-coding RNA is filed under the name Clostridium sp. Its description in RNAcentral is "T-box sequence". It matches the Rfam family "T-box leader". Rfam says of the family: Uncharged tRNA acts as the effector for transcription antitermination of genes in the T-box leader family. T-boxes are found upstream of many aminoacyl-tRNA synthetase genes and some amino acid biosynthetic genes usually in Gram-positive bacteria. The anticodon of a specific tRNA base pairs to a specifier sequence within the T-box motif, and the NCCA acceptor tail of the tRNA base pairs to a conserved bulge in the T-box antiterminator hairpin. Lineage: Bacteria; Bacillati; Bacillota; Clostridia; Eubacteriales; Clostridiaceae. The record is from RNAcentral.
AGAAAACCGUUGAUUGAGAAGAGUAGGUGCGGAGUGCUCCCUUCCAGAGAGCUGCGGGCGGUGAGAGCGCAGCGGGCAAGGCGCCGGACUGAAUGGACUCAUGAGGGCGGGACGAAAGGCGGACGGCCGAGUAGUGCCCGACGGGAACUCCACCCGUUAUCAAGGGAGCGCACAUGGUGGUGUGCGGAGCGAGUGGGCGUUUAGACGCCAAUUUGGGUGGUACCGCAGGAGAGUGUUUCCCCUGUCCCAGCA